RNAcentral lists this transfer RNA (75 nucleotides) under bacterium. RNAcentral's name for it is "tRNA-Met". It matches the Rfam family "tRNA". Rfam says of the family: Transfer RNA (tRNA) molecules are approximately 80 nucleotides in length. Their secondary structure includes four short double-helical elements and three loops (D, anti-codon, and T loops). Further hydrogen bonds mediate the characteristic L-shaped molecular structure. tRNAs have two regions of fundamental functional importance: the anti-codon, which is responsible for specific mRNA codon recognition, and the 3' end, to which the tRNAs corresponding amino acid is attached (by aminoacyl-tRNA synthetases). tRNAs cope with the degeneracy of the genetic code in two manners: having more than one tRNA (with a specific anti-codon) for a particular amino acid; and 'wobble' base-pairing, i.e. permitting non-standard base-pairing at the 3rd anti-codon position. The record is from RNAcentral.
UCCUGUCUAGCAUAAUGGUAGUGCCGCGAACUCAUAAUUCGUACAGUCUGGGUUCGACUCCCGGGGCAGGAACCA